RNAcentral lists this non-coding RNA (22 nucleotides) under Salmo salar (Atlantic salmon). Its record names the gene ssa-miR-222b-3p. Lineage: Eukaryota; Metazoa; Chordata; Actinopteri; Salmoniformes; Salmonidae. RNAcentral also lists the same sequence under 7 other names. The record is from miRBase by way of RNAcentral.
AGCUACAUCUGGCUACUGGGUC